CCUACGGGUGGCAGCAGUGAGGAAUAUUGGUCAAUGGACGAGAGUCUGAACCAGCCACGUAGCGUGAAGGAUGACUGCCCUAUGGGUUGUAAACUUCUUUUAUAUGGGAAUAAAAUGGUCCACGUGUGGGAUUUUGUAUGUACCAUAUGAAUAAGGAUAGGCUAACUCCGUGCCAGCAGCCGCGGUACUACGGAGGAUGCGAGCGUUAUCCGGAUUUAUUGGGUUUAAGGGGAACGUAGGGGGAUUGUUAAGUCAGAUGUGAAAGUUUGCGGCUCAACCGGAAAAUUGCAGUUGAAACUGGGAGUCUUGAGUACAGUAGAGGUGGGCGGAAUUCGUGGUGUAGCGGUGAAAUGCUUAGAUAUCACGAAGAACUCCGAUUGCGAAGGCAGCUCACUGGACUGCAACUGACACUGAGGCUCGAAAGUGUGGGUAUCAAACAGGAUUAGAUACCCGGGUAGUC
RNAcentral lists this ribosomal RNA (460 nucleotides) under uncultured bacterium. Its description in RNAcentral is "partial 16S ribosomal RNA". It matches the Rfam family "Bacterial small subunit ribosomal RNA", at positions 338 to 795 of the family's 1533-position model. The record is from RNAcentral.